Molecule: ribosomal RNA, 229 nt
Filed under: uncultured bacterium
Lineage: Bacteria
Description: partial 16S ribosomal RNA
Rfam family: Bacterial small subunit ribosomal RNA
Source: RNAcentral
UGAGCAAUCUGCCCUUCACUUCGGGAUAACUCCGGGAAACCGGUGCUAAUACCGAAUACGACCACCUCAGGCAUCUGAUGGUGGUGGAAAGUUCCGGCGGUGGAGGAUGAGCUCGCGGCCUAUCAGCUUGUUGGUGGGGUAAAGGCCCACCAAGGCAACGACGGGUAGCCGGCCUGAGAGGGUGACCGGCCACACUGGGACUGAGACACGGCCCAGACUCCUACGGGAG